UUGAUCCUGGCUCAGAAUCAACGCUGGCGGCGUGCCUAACACAUGCAAGUCGAACGAGAAAGCUGGUAGCAAUACUGGUGAGUAAAGUGGCGACCGGGUUAGUAACACGUGGACAACCUGCCACCGAGUGGGGAAUAACCCUGGGAAACUGGGGAUAAUACCGCAUAACACUUUUGAACUUCGGUUUGAGAGUUGAAACUCGUAAGGGGCUUGGUGAGGGGUCCGCGGCCGAUUAGCUAGUUGGUGAGGUAAUGGCCCACCAAGGCAAUGAUCGGUAGCCGGCCUGAGAGGGCGGACGGUCACACUGGAACUGAAACACGGUCCAGACUCCUACGGGAGGCAGCAGUGGUGAAUUUUGCGCAAUGGGGGAAACCCUGACGCAGCAACGCCGCGUGGACGUUGAAGCAUCUUGGUGUGUAAAGUCCUUUCGGCAGGGAAGAAUCUGGAGCUAUCCAGUUGACGGUACCUGAAGAAGGAGCCCCGGCUAACUACGUGCCAGUAGCCGCGGUAAUAAGGU
This 517-nucleotide ribosomal RNA is filed under the name uncultured Acidobacteriota bacterium. RNAcentral describes it as "bacterial SSU rRNA". It matches the Rfam family "Bacterial small subunit ribosomal RNA", at positions 13 to 528 of the family's 1533-position model. The record is from RNAcentral. Lineage: Bacteria; Pseudomonadati; Acidobacteriota.